This 770-nucleotide long non-coding RNA is filed under the name Gossypium raimondii (Peruvian cotton). Its description in RNAcentral is "long non-coding RNA (GRAI_LNC000272)". The record is from RNAcentral. Lineage: Eukaryota; Viridiplantae; Streptophyta; Magnoliopsida; Malvales; Malvaceae.
CCAAUUUUGCCCGGGUUUAAAAUCCCGAAUUACAAAUGGGCCACAAGGCCCAAACCAAAACAAACAAAGGCCCAAGACAGAUAAUGAAACCCUAGGGUUUUUAAUCUUCAACAGCGCCGCAAGACGAGUCCUCUGGAUCUCCAUGAUCUUCACCUACAAGGAAACAAGCAUAAAGAAAGAAACAAACAGCAUAUGGAAAGAAAAUCAUGGAUUUGCGAAUCAAAGAUAUCAACAGAUUUCUUUCUUUCUUUGAUUUAUUAUCAUGGCUAUAAAAAGCCUUUGAAUACACCGUAAUAUGGGGCGGAUUUGAAAAUAAAUAAAAAACCACAAAUAUUUUCACAAACGACCGAAUACUAAGAGGGUACAAAGAGAAUCAAUCUAAGGUUGAUAUUUCGGGUUUUGUCAUUUAUUUUCUUUUUAUUUUUAUACACUGAUACAAAAGAAAAAAUAAAAGAGAGAAGACUUACCUGGGUUCGGAUCUGCGACGUUGUGGAGACGAUUGAGUGAGCCACCCCCGAGGACCGGUGGCCGGAAGCCGAAAGGUUUCCAAGGCUUAAAGGGUAUUUUUGUUGUUUUUUGAAGGUUUUGUGCCUAGAUCUAGGUUUGGAAGGGUCGAGAGAGCCGAAAAGGUAAGAUUUCCCUUUUCCGGCCACCGCAUACGGCGGUGCCAGAAAUUGGCAACCGGCGCGGUGGCCGGUGACCGACCGAUGACCGGAAUGGAGGCCUGAUAUUGGAUAGGGGAGAGGAUUUUUCGGAAGUUUUUUUUGAGA